Non-coding RNA from Pelobates cultripes (western spadefoot toad), 287 nucleotides. The record is from the annotation of a GenBank genome assembly. Lineage: Eukaryota; Metazoa; Chordata; Amphibia; Anura; Pelobatidae.
AUCACUAGUUAUAGGUGAUUGUAUUGUUUUAUUCAAACCUGUGACAAUUCCUCUUUAAAUCUUUCAAUUAUACAUUCUGAAGUAAUACGUUGCCUCAUCAUUAGAGCAUAAUUAUACGACAAGGUCUGGCUCAUAUUAUACAAAAAAAAAAAAAAAAACUACAUGAUGCACAAGUGAUCACGUUAUAAAGGAUGUUUAAUAAAUAAGGGACCACCAAAAUACCUUUAAUAUUCAUAAUACGCUUAAUGCAUUCAAGAUGGAUGUUCUUGGGAUAGUGCAAUAUACAU